This 425-nucleotide ribosomal RNA is filed under the name uncultured bacterium. Its description in RNAcentral is "partial 16S ribosomal RNA". It matches the Rfam family "Bacterial small subunit ribosomal RNA", at positions 354 to 796 of the family's 1533-position model. The record is from RNAcentral.
GUGGGGAAUUUUGGACAAUGGGCGCAAGCCUGAUCUAGCCAUGCCGCGUGAGCGAUGAAGGCCUUAGGGUUGUAAAGCUCUUUCAGCUGGGAAGAUAAUGACGGUACCAGCAGAAGAAGCCCCGGCUAACUCCGUGCCAGCAGCCGCGGUAAUACGGAGGGGGCUAGCGUUGUUCGGAAUUACUGGGCGUAAAGCGCACGUAGGCGGAUCAGAAAGUCAGAGGUGAAAUCCCAGGGCUCAACCUUGGAACUGCCUUUGAAACUCCUGAUCUUGAGGUCGAGAGAGGUGAGUGGAAUUCCGAGUGUAGAGGUGAAAUUCGUAGAUAUUCGGGGGAACACCAGUGGCGAAGGCGGCUCACUGGCUCGAUACUGACGCUGAGGUGCGAAAGCGUGGGGAGCAAACAGGAUUAGAAACCCGGGUAGUCC